GAAGGGAGCUUGCUCCCGGAUGUUAGCGGCGGACGGGUGAGUAACACGUGGGUAACCUGCCUGUAAGACUGGGAUAACUCCGGGAAACCGGAGCUAAUACCGGAUAGUUCCUUGAACCGCAUGGUUCAAGGAUGAAAGACGGUUUCGGCUGUCACUUACAGAUGGACCCGCGGCGCAUUAGCUAGUUGGUGGGGUAAUGGCUCACCAAGGCGACGAUGCGUAGCCGACCUGAGAGGGUGAUCGGCCACACUGGGACUGAGACACGGCCCAGACUCCUACGGGAGGCAGCAGUAGGGAAUCUUCCGCAAUGGACGAAAGUCUGACGGAGCAACGCCGCGUGAGUGAUGAAGGUUUUCGGAUCGUAAAGCUCUGUUGUUAGGGAAGAACAAGUGCGAGAGUAACUGCUCGCACCUUGACGGUACCUAACCAGAAAGCCACGGCUAACUACGUGCCAGCAGCCGCGGUAAUACGUAGGUGGCAAGCGUUGUCCGGAAUUAUUGGGCGUAAAGGGCUCGCAGGCGGUUUCUUAAGUCUGAUGUGAAAGCCCCCGGCUCAACCGGGGAGGGUCAUUGGAAACUGGGAAACUUGAGUGCAGAAGAGGAGAGUGGAAUUCCACGUGUAGCGGUGAAAUGCGUAGAGAUGUGGAGGAACACCAGUGGCGAAGGCGACUCUCUGGUCUGUAACUGACGCUGAGGAGCGAAAGCGUGGGGAGCGAACAGGAUUAGAUACCCUGGUAGUCCACGCCGUAAACGAUGAGUGCUAAGUGUUAGGGGGUUUCCGCCCCUUNGUGUUGCAGCUAACGCAUUAAAGCACUCCGCCCUGGGGGAGUACGGGCCGCAAGAAUUGAAUACUCAAAUGGAAAUUUAU
RNAcentral lists this ribosomal RNA (867 nucleotides) under Bacillus zhangzhouensis. RNAcentral's name for it is "bacterial SSU rRNA". It matches the Rfam family "Bacterial small subunit ribosomal RNA", at positions 71 to 914 of the family's 1533-position model. The record is from RNAcentral. Lineage: Bacteria; Bacillati; Bacillota; Bacilli; Caryophanales; Bacillaceae.